GGCAAAAACCAAGAGUGAAACUUAUACAAGGUGACAAAUUUAUCAAGUCUAUCAUAGCCUGUCUAUCCAUGAAAAGUUGACUAGCAGACCAAAAUUGCCCGACAAAAGCCAAGAGUCUUUGAAUGUAAAGAAAUGUAAUUUUCUUCCUCAAAACUCUCCCAUGUUGGCAAAUUCUAAGAGGGAAGGAAAGAUCUUUGGUAUCUUACUGCCUAGGGUCAUCAAAACUAAGGGAGCAACAUGAGCGCAUUCAAUUAAAACACAGAAAGGAAUAUACAUUAAAACCAAGAACAAGAUGUGCA
RNAcentral lists this unclassified non-coding RNA (299 nucleotides) under Hevea brasiliensis (rubber tree). Lineage: Eukaryota; Viridiplantae; Streptophyta; Magnoliopsida; Malpighiales; Euphorbiaceae. The record is from RNAcentral.